Molecule: long non-coding RNA, 1048 nt
Organism: Melospiza melodia melodia
Lineage: Eukaryota; Metazoa; Chordata; Aves; Passeriformes; Passerellidae
Exons: 5
Source: RefSeq, a predicted model, not a curated record
GACCCAUGCAACUUCUCAGCUAUCUAGCAGAGUUUACGUAAGUUUUAACUGAUUUAAAUACCAAUAUAUUUUUGCUUGACAGCAUGGCCUCUGCAUAGUGGGCAAAGAGUUCUUACACUCUUCUAGUAAUUCCAUUCUAUGCUUUUCUCACUCUGUUUACUUCUCCCUGAAAUGACCGUGACCUUCUGCCAGAUUUUCUUGAAGGUUAUGCUAAUCUUUGUUGGCAAGAGAAACAGUAGCUGGAGCGAAAGAAGUGAAAGAGAAUGCCACAUGAGAAUGAACAGCAUGCGGAGCGUGAGAAGUUUCUGCAAUAACUGGAACUGGAGCAGCCUUGUCAGCAUGCAGUCCCUGGAGCAGUGACAUUGCAGACAUAGUCACAUCCAGCACCUGAAAUUUGCAAGAACCGCCCCCAAUCUUUUCAAACAAAAGAAAUAAUUGAAAAUAAGCUGAAAAAACAGUCAUAUGUUGGCCAUCCACAUAAUUUCUUCUGAUGCAGAAUAUGGAGCAUGGAAGAGGACUUAAACUGUACAUUUCCAGAAGAUGGUAUCAGAGAUGUCUCUGAUGAAGAUGUGCUUCCACAUUAGAUAUCUUCCUUACUUCAUGGUCCAAGGAAGAGUUAAUCUUAAAACACUCUUGAUCUGUGCUGGACAGAAAAAUGUGAAGAACAACGACUCCUCUUGCAGUAGACAUUUGCAGAGAUGUGACCACCCCAACAUUUCCUGUUAGAAGUGUUGCUAACAGAGCUUGGGCAAAAGAAAUCAUGAGAAGGUGGCUUUCCAAGUGAAUGAACAUCAGGGCAAAGAAGUGACAGAUCUUAGCUGCAAAAAUGAAACAAAAAUUAUGGAAUCUGAACACUUCAAGAAAGAUUUAUCAAGGCUGGAAGAAAAAGAUGGCUUUCUGUAUUCUUUUGAAAUGCAAAGGAGUUCAGUUUUUCUAUUCCUGGAGUAUGUUUCUAUUGAUCUGUUAUGAUUCAUCUCUGGAAGAAGUCUCUAGAUAAAACACUUCUAAAUAAAAAUCUGUCAUUUGGGGGAAAAUGGACAUUAAUGGU